Molecule: ribosomal RNA, 243 nt
Filed under: uncultured bacterium
Lineage: Bacteria
Description: partial small subunit ribosomal RNA
Rfam family: Bacterial small subunit ribosomal RNA
Source: RNAcentral
AGAAUCAACGCUGGCGGCGUGCCUAACACAUGCAAGUCGAACGAGAAAGUGGAGCAAUCCAUGAGUAAAGUGGCGCACGGGUGAGUAACACGUGACUAACCUACCCUUGAGUGGGGGAUAACCUAGGGAAACCUGGGCUAAUACCGCAUAAUACCUUCGGGUCAAAGGAGCAAUUCGCUUAAGGAGGGGGUCGCGGCCGAUUAGUUAGUUGGCGGGUAAUGGCCCACAAGACGAUGAUCGGUA